UCGGGCGCUGACACUAGAUUACAGUGUUUAUAAUUUACAGCUAAUCAUUCGUGUGGAAAAAGGAGAGACAGAGAGAAAACACCCCCUCCAAACCACAGCAGCCAAAAACCUUCGUAUUAACAGGCGUGAUUAGUGAUUAUUUCUGCAAUAGGAGACAGGCCAGGCCCCCAGCCAGGUUCUUGGCUUCAGCUGCUAUUCUAAAUCCUAAACAGAUGAUUGACUGAGCUGCCACAUUUGCUGUUCACAGACUUCCCUUGAUGAGACCGAGGGGCCGUCUCCAGGGUCCGUUCAAAUUCUCCUGCUUCCAGACGAGAUGUUCAGAUGGCAAUCCUAAGCACCGCUUCUCAGUCCACUGGAGUCCACUGCAUUCGAAGGAGGCAGCUCUGUUUGGGAUUGUUCAGUUUAUUUCCCUUACCGUUAACAACUGUUCUCCGGGCUAUCUCCCAUAGGACCAGACCGUAUGCCCAGAUGUCUGUCUGCUUGAAGGAUUCAAAAAAGUCCAUACGGAUCUGUUCAUCUAAAACUUCAGGCGCCAUGUAUCUUUUGGUUCCUACCCGUGGGUUAUUUCCAAUGUCCAAGUAGUCAUUGCUCUGGGAAUGCAUGACUGCCAAACCUGAAAGGAAAAAAGUAUGUCAUUUUUUUGAGGAAUGCUUAGCUAGGAAAGUUAGGUACUUCUCCAAAGACAGCCCAGUUCAACAUCCUGCCAAACCUUGUGUGACUCCAGGCAAAGUACUUAAUUCCUUUAAACCGGCAUUCUUAAUGUAAGAGCCACACAGAAUAAACUUCAGAUGUUUGAGAGCCACAAGACCUGAACAAGUAUUACACACAUGUUUUUAUUGCUACAUAUAAAUAAAUAUACAUAAUAAUUAUUAUUCAUAUAUGUAAUUCUUAUUAGCAUUAAAUGAAACUUCCAAAAAUAAAAACAAAAGGAGUAAAAACA
Molecule: long non-coding RNA, 940 nt
Organism: Sphaerodactylus townsendi
Lineage: Eukaryota; Metazoa; Chordata; Lepidosauria; Squamata; Sphaerodactylidae
Exons: 2
Source: RefSeq, a predicted model, not a curated record